RNAcentral lists this ribosomal RNA (497 nucleotides) under uncultured bacterium. Its description in RNAcentral is "partial 16S ribosomal RNA". It matches the Rfam family "Bacterial small subunit ribosomal RNA", at positions 29 to 507 of the family's 1533-position model. The record is from RNAcentral.
AAUGAACGCUGGCGGCAUGCCUAAUACAUGCAAGUCGAGCGAACAGACAAGGAGCUUGCUCCUUUGCCGUUAGCGGCGGACGGGUGAGUAACACGUGGAUAACCUCCCUAUAAGACUGGGAUAACUACGGGAAACCGGGGCUAAUACCGGAUCAUAUUUAGAACCGCAUGGUUCAAAAGUGAAAGAUGGUUUUGCUGUCACUUAUAGAUGGAUCCGCGCCGGAUUAGCUAGUUGGUAAGGUAACGGCUUACCAAGGCAACGAUCCGUAGCUGACCUGAGAGGGUGAUCAGCCACACUGGAACUGAGACACGGUCCAGACUCCUACGGGAGGCAGCAGUAGGGAAUCUUCCGCAAUGGGCGAAAGCCUGACGGAGCCACGCCGCGUGAGUGAUGAAGGUCUUCGGAUCGUAAAACUCUGUUAUUAGGGAAGAACAAAUGUGUAAUUAACUCUGCACGUCUUGACGGUACCUAAUCAGAAAGCCACGGCUAACUACGUG